CUUCUAUACUUGGGCUUUCUCGGUGUUAAGCAUAAAAUUUCUUCUCUAAACUGAUUCUUUCACUGCCAAUUACUUUUAACUUUGAUUUUGUUGAAGUAAGAAGGAUAAACAUUGGCAAAUUAUAUUGCAUAUUACUCUGUUGUAGUGGUUAGGACUAGGAAAAAUUGCAAAUUAUUGAAGCAAUAUAUAUUGAAACAAGAAAUAUAGUUUCAUAUACCGGUUAGAAGUGGUUAAACUUCUUGAUAUUAGUUUAGAUGACUUUAAAGAUAUACUUUCGGGGGGAAUAAUUGAGAUAUAUCAUGAACUAAUAGUUGGGUGAAGUAGAUUCAAUUUAUUUCUAGGGUUGAAAUUGGUACCUUGUGUUGGCAUUACAAUAUUAUAUCAAAAGAAUAUAAGUUAAUGAUUUUCUAUAAACACCCAAUAAUUUGUUGCUAUUUCUUCUUCUACCAAACAAAUGAAUUGAAUUUUUCAUAAAAUUAAAUAAAUAAAUAAAAUAUUUUCUUCUCUCUUUAAAUUAUAGUUUAGCUUUUAAAAAUAUGGUAAAACAACAUAUUUGCUUUCAAAAAGGGCAUGAUGGUUGAAUCUAUAUAAAUAGUUAAAAAUUAAAAAUUAGACAUGGCAAGUGUCACAUGGUUGAGUUUAUAAUUUUUUAAUAAAUAUAUUGUAUAAUUUUGACUUUAUCCUUCAUAAGUUUGAAAAAAAAAAAAUAUGUAAAGUAAAAUUUUUAAAUACUCAUUUGAUUAAAACUAUAUUAUAGGAUAUACAUAGCAACAUUUUGUCAAAACUCAUUGUUAAGCAAAGGUAAAGCUUACUCAAUGAUAAAGAUGCACUUUAGCUAAUCUAAACUAAGUUAAUUUAUAAUUAAAAAGUAUAUAUGUGCAAGGAAUGUGGUAAUACAAGGAGUAAGAUUGAAUAGGAGUACACAAAGAAUAAUAGCUCCCACAUGAGGAACUUCUUGAUUUUUCAUUAAAUCAUGUGUUAUGUUGUUGUUUUAUCCUUGCAUGUUUUUAGUAUAAAAACUAUUUAUGUGAGUUAAUUUCUCGACAUAAAAAGGAGAGGUUAAGUUAAUAUAUCUAAUUGAUUUGUACUAUCCAAUUUUUUUGAUCAUUUCUUUUUAAUUAAAGGUUUAUUUUGAACUAUAAAAAUAAUAAAUAUAUGAUAGUUAAAUUAAUUUUUUAAGAUUUAAAUAUAUUUAAUGUUAAGUCUAUCUAUUUUGGAUGUUUGAAACAAUGAAUUAUCUUCUCUAAAAAGUAGUUGCUUUAUACUUGAUCAUUAUUCUUUAAACUAAUAUCAUUGUAAUUAUUGGUAAAUCAACUUGUAAAUUGGUUUCAACACCACACAUGACAAAUUAUAGAAAAUGUGGGUUGUUAAGCCCUUAUAGGAAAAAUGGGACCUAACAAUACUAAUGACCUAACAAUACUACUAAUGAACUAACAAUACUAAAUAUACAAAUCUUAACUAACUACUAUAUGUGUUUGAUUUAGGGUUUAUAAAAUAAGAUACCAAAGUGCUUGUAAGAACUCACAACCUCAAAACCAUACAUAUUGAUAACUCUACAUUCAAACUUUAGCAAAAAUGAAAUCG
Molecule: long non-coding RNA, 1584 nt
Organism: Cucumis melo (muskmelon)
Lineage: Eukaryota; Viridiplantae; Streptophyta; Magnoliopsida; Cucurbitales; Cucurbitaceae
Exons: 2
Source: RefSeq, a predicted model, not a curated record